RNAcentral lists this ribosomal RNA (350 nucleotides) under uncultured bacterium. Its description in RNAcentral is "bacterial SSU rRNA". It matches the Rfam family "Bacterial small subunit ribosomal RNA", at positions 8 to 353 of the family's 1533-position model. The record is from RNAcentral.
AGAGUUUGAUCAUGGCUCAGGACGAACGCUGACGGCGCGCCUAACACAUGCAAGUCGAGCGAGAGAGAGGGAGCUUGCUUCCUCGAUCGAGUGGCGAACGGGUGAGUAACGCGUGAGGAACCUGCCUCAAAGAGGGGGACAACAGUUGGAAACGACUGCUAAUACCGCAUAAGCCCACGGCUCGGCAUCGAGCAGAGGGAAAAGGAGCAAUCCGCUUUGAGAUGGCCUCGCGUCCGAUUAGCUAGUUGGUGAGGUAACGGCCCACCAAGGCGACGAUCGGUAGCCGGACUGAGAGGUUGAACGGCCACAUUGGGACUGAGACACGGCCCAGACUCCUACGGGAGGCAGCA